This 115-nucleotide ribosomal RNA is filed under the name Sinocyclocheilus anshuiensis. Lineage: Eukaryota; Metazoa; Chordata; Actinopteri; Cypriniformes; Cyprinidae. The record is from RNAcentral.
UCACAGCCAUAUCACCCUGCAGCCCAAGACUGGUUGCCCACUGAAGCUAAGCAGGGUUGAGCCUGGUCAGUACCUGGAUGGGAGACCUCCUGGGAAAACUAGGUUGCUGUUGGAA